RNAcentral lists this transfer RNA (71 nucleotides) under Dictyocaulus viviparus (bovine lungworm). It matches the Rfam family "tRNA". Rfam says of the family: Transfer RNA (tRNA) molecules are approximately 80 nucleotides in length. Their secondary structure includes four short double-helical elements and three loops (D, anti-codon, and T loops). The record is from Rfam by way of RNAcentral. Lineage: Eukaryota; Metazoa; Nematoda; Chromadorea; Rhabditida; Metastrongylidae.
UCAUUAAUGUGUACUACUAACACAUCAGACUAAAAAUCUGAGAGAUGUCGGUUCAAAUCCCACUUAAGGAU